GACCCAGCGACCGAACUGUCACCGUAUGGUGGCGUGCCCGAGACACCUCGGGAUAGGUCCUGGGUCGCUC
This 70-nucleotide non-coding RNA is filed under the name unclassified sequences. RNAcentral describes it as "DUF3800-IX RNA". It matches the Rfam family "DUF3800-IX RNA". Rfam says of the family: Actinobacteria, Firmicutes (1 example), Nitrospirae, Proteobacteria, Verrucomicrobia (1 example). Nearby to DUF3800 The record is from Rfam by way of RNAcentral.